GGGGGUAUAGCUUAGCGGUAGAGCAUUUGACUGCAGAUCAAGAGGUCCCCGGUUCAAAUCCGGGUGCCCCCU
RNAcentral lists this transfer RNA (72 nucleotides) under Homo sapiens (human). RNAcentral's name for it is "tRNA-Cys (anticodon GCA) 11-1 (TRC-GCA11-1)". It matches the Rfam family "tRNA". From Rfam's summary of the family: Transfer RNA (tRNA) molecules are approximately 80 nucleotides in length. Lineage: Eukaryota; Metazoa; Chordata; Mammalia; Primates; Hominidae. The record is from Rfam by way of RNAcentral.